AGCAGUAGCCGCGGUAAUACGAAGGGGGCUAGCGUUGCUCGGAAUGACUGGGCGUAAAGGGCGCGUAGGCGGCGGCCAAAGUCAGGCGUGAAAUUCCCGGGCUCAACCUGGGGGCUGCGUUUGAUACUUGGUUGCUUGAGUGGGGAAGAGGGUCGUGGAAUACCCAGUGUAGAGGUGAAAUUCGUAGAUAUUGGGAAGAACACCGGUGGCGAAGGCGGCGACCUGGUCCUUUACUGACGCUGAGGCGCGAAAGCGUGGGGAGCAAACAGGAUUAGAUACCCCUGUAGUCCCUGUCUCUUAUAC
This 303-nucleotide ribosomal RNA is filed under the name uncultured bacterium. Its description in RNAcentral is "partial 16S ribosomal RNA". It matches the Rfam family "Bacterial small subunit ribosomal RNA", at positions 507 to 807 of the family's 1533-position model. The record is from RNAcentral.